This 146-nucleotide ribosomal RNA is filed under the name Spirodela intermedia. RNAcentral's name for it is "5". Lineage: Eukaryota; Viridiplantae; Streptophyta; Magnoliopsida; Alismatales; Araceae. The record is from RNAcentral.
ACCCCCUUAGUGGGAGAGUUGCCACCGGAUCUCAUAAGAACUCUAGAGUUAAGCAUGCUCGGGUGGAAGCAGUCCCCGGAUGGGUGACCUCCCUAGGAAGUCCCGAGUACAUGUGCAUGUGUUGCGAGAUGCUUGUUGUGCAUGUG